UUGUAGGACCACCAGUGGCGAAAGCGUCAGACUGGAACGCGCUUGACGGUGAGGGACGAAAGCCAGGGGAGCGAACCGGAUUAGAUACCCGGGUAGUCCUGGCCGUAGACGAUGCAUACUAGGCAAUGGUGCGGCCAUGAGCCGCAUCAGUACCGUAGGGAAACCGUUAAGUGUGCCGCCUGGGAAGUACGGUCGCAAGGCUAAAACUUAAAGGAAUUGGCGGGGGAGCACCACAAGGGGUGAAGCCUGCGGUUCAAUUGGACUCAACGCCGGGAAACUUACCAGGGGAGACAGCAGAAUGACAGUCAGGUUGACGACCUUACUCGACGAGCUGAGAGGAGGUGCAUGGCCGUCGCCAGUUCGUGCUGUGAGGUAUCCUGUUAAGUCAGGCAACGAACGAGAUCCGCGCCUUUAUUUGCCAUCAAGAAGUCACGACUUCGUUGGGAACACUAAAGGGACCGCCGUCGAUAAGACGGAGGAAGGAGCGGGCAAAGGCAGGUCAGUAUGCCCCGAAACCCCUGGGCUACACGCGGGCUGCAAUGGUGCGAACAAUGGGCUGUAACUCCGAAAGGAGAAACCAAUCCCGAAAUCGCAUCUCAGUGGGGAUUGUCGACUGUAACUCGUUGACAUGAACGUGGAUCCCUAGUAAUCGCGUGUCACCAUCGCGCGGUGA
This 673-nucleotide ribosomal RNA is filed under the name uncultured crenarchaeote. RNAcentral describes it as "bacterial SSU rRNA". It matches the Rfam family "Archaeal small subunit ribosomal RNA", at positions 649 to 1321 of the family's 1478-position model. Lineage: Archaea; Thermoproteati; Thermoproteota. The record is from RNAcentral.